GAUGAACGCUGGCGGCGUGCCUAAUACAUGCAAGUCGAGCGAACAGACGAGGAGCUCGCUCCUUCGACGUUAGCGGCGGACGGGUGAGUAACACGUAGGUAACCUACCUAUAAGACUGGGAUAACUUCGGGAAACCGGAGCUAAUACCGGAUAAUAUUUCGAACCGCAUGGUUCGAUAGUGAAAGAUGGCUUUGCUAUCACUUAUAGAUGGACCUGCGCCGUAUUAGCUAGUUGGUAAGGUAACGGCUUACCAAGGCAACGAUACGUAGCCGACCUGAGAGGGUGAUCGGCCACACUGGAACUGAGACACGGUCCAGACUCCUACGGGAGGCAGCAGUAGGGAAUCUUCCGCAAUGGGCGAAAGCCUGACGGAGCAACGCCGCGUGAGUGAUGAAGGUCUUCGGAUCGUAAAACUCCGUUAUUAGGGAAGAACAAACGUGUAAGUAACUGUGCACGUCUUGACGGUACCUAAUCAGAAAGCCACGGCUAACUACGUG
Molecule: ribosomal RNA, 497 nt
Filed under: uncultured bacterium
Lineage: Bacteria
Description: partial 16S ribosomal RNA
Rfam family: Bacterial small subunit ribosomal RNA
Source: RNAcentral